GCCCGCGUAGCUCAGGGGAUAGAGCGACUGCCUCCUAAGCAGUAGGUCGCAGGUUCGAAUCCUGCCGCGGGUG
This 73-nucleotide transfer RNA is filed under the name Acidimicrobiia bacterium. RNAcentral's name for it is "tRNA-Arg". It matches the Rfam family "tRNA". Rfam says of the family: Transfer RNA (tRNA) molecules are approximately 80 nucleotides in length. RNAcentral also lists the same sequence under 1 other name. Lineage: Bacteria; Bacillati; Actinomycetota; Acidimicrobiia. The record is from RNAcentral.